RNAcentral lists this long non-coding RNA (315 nucleotides) under Ananas comosus (pineapple). RNAcentral's name for it is "long non-coding RNA (ACOM_LNC038877)". The record is from RNAcentral. Lineage: Eukaryota; Viridiplantae; Streptophyta; Magnoliopsida; Poales; Bromeliaceae.
CAUUAUGCAUUUGGCAUUAGUGCAUUUGAGGCAUUGAUUAUGCAUUUGGUAUUGUGCAGCAGAGGCACAUUGACCCUGGCACAUUGAUUAUGCAUUUGGUAUUGUGCAGCAGAGGCACAUUGACCCUGGUAGAUAGGGUAUCCUCUUGUGAGGAUUGGAUCAUACUCACUAGUCUGUUCUUGCUUGUCGGUGGUCGCUCCAACGAAGCACGAGUCUCCGGAGUACUUCACUAGGGGCAGACGUAGUUGUCCCGCAGACGGUCUCGGUGUGCGAGUGCAGAUUCUCCUCACCUAUGAGAUUGAGAGUGAGUCGAGG